Long non-coding RNA from Bufo bufo (common toad), 419 nucleotides. RefSeq lists it as uncharacterized. The record is from RefSeq and is a predicted model, not a curated record. Lineage: Eukaryota; Metazoa; Chordata; Amphibia; Anura; Bufonidae. The transcript is spliced from 4 exons.
UUGCCGUUUGGAGACCAACGCGGUCAACUAUAAGGAGAAACUCCUUACCCAGCUUAAACUAUACCUUACCAGGAGAAACAAGGACCUUCUCAACAUCAUCACAAAGACACAAGCUCUUGCCGUUUGGAGACCAACACGGUCAACUAUAAGGAGAAACUCCUUACCCAGCUUAAACUAUACCUCACCAGGAGAAACAAGGACCUUCUCAACAUCAUCACAAAGACACAAGCUCUUGCCGUUUGGAGACCAACGCGGUCAACUAUAAGGAGAAACUCCUUACCCAGCUUAAACUAUACCUUACCAGGAGAAACAAGGACCUUCUCAACAUCAUCACAAAGACACAAGCUCUUGCCGUUUGGAGACCAACGCGGUCAACUAUAAGGAGAAACUCCUUACCCAGCUUAACCCCUUAAGGACAU